GGGCCUAUAGCUCAAUUGGUUAGAGCAGCGGACUCAUAAUCCGUUGGUUGCAGGUUCAAGUCCWGGCUGGGCCCACCA
RNAcentral lists this transfer RNA (78 nucleotides) under Xylella fastidiosa subsp. fastidiosa Mus-1. RNAcentral describes it as "tRNA-Met". The record is from RNAcentral. Lineage: Bacteria; Pseudomonadati; Pseudomonadota; Gammaproteobacteria; Lysobacterales; Lysobacteraceae.